Molecule: ribosomal RNA, 1463 nt
Filed under: uncultured Klebsiella sp.
Lineage: Bacteria; Pseudomonadati; Pseudomonadota; Gammaproteobacteria; Enterobacterales; Enterobacteriaceae
Description: bacterial SSU rRNA
Rfam family: Bacterial small subunit ribosomal RNA
Source: RNAcentral
AUUGAACGCUGGCGGCAGGCCUAACACAUGCAAGUCGAGCGGUAGCACAGAGAGCUUGCUCUCGGGUGACGAGCGGCGGACGGGUGAGUAAUGUCUGGGAAACUGCCUGAUGGAGGGGGAUAACUACUGGAAACGGUAGCUAAUACCGCAUAAUGUCGCAAGACCAAAGUGGGGGACCUUCGGGCCUCAUGCCAUCAGAUGUGCCCAGAUGGGAUUAGCUAGUAGGUGGGGUAACGGCUCACCUAGGCGACGAUCCCUAGCUGGUCUGAGAGGAUGACCAGCCACACUGGAACUGAGACACGGUCCAGACUCCUACGGGAGGCAGCAGUGGGGAAUAUUGCACAAUGGGCGCAAGCCUGAUGCAGCCAUGCCGCGUGUGUGAAGAAGGCCUUCGGGUUGUAAAGCACUUUCAGCGGGGAGGAAGGCGUUAAGGUUAAUAACCUUGGCGAUUGACGUUACCCGCAGAAGAAGCACCGGCUAACUCCGUGCCAGCAGCCGCGGUAAUACGGAGGGUGCAAGCGUUAAUCGGAAUUACUGGGCGUAAAGCGCACGCAGGCGGUCUGUCAAGUCGGAUGUGAAAUCCCCGGGCUCAACCUGGGAACUGCAUUCGAAACUGGCAGGCUAGAGUCUUGUAGAGGGGGGUAGAAUUCCAGGUGUAGCGGUGAAAUGCGUAGAGAUCUGGAGGAAUACCGGUGGCGAAGGCGGCCCCCUGGACAAAGACUGACGCUCAGGUGCGAAAGCGUGGGGAGCAAACAGGAUUAGAUACCCUGGUAGUCCACGCCGUAAACGAUGUCGAUUUGGAGGUUGUGCCCUUGAGGCGUGGCUUCCGGAGCUAACGCGUUAAAUCGACCGCCUGGGGAGUACAGCCGCAAGGUUAAAACUCAAAUGAAUUGACGGGGGCCCGCACAAGCGGUGGAGCAUGUGGUUUAAUUCGAUGCAACGCGAAGAACCUUACCUGGUCUUGACAUCCACAGAACUUUCCAGAGAUGGAUUGGUGCCUUCGGGAACUGUGAGACAGGUGCUGCAUGGCUGUCGUCAGCUCGUGUUGUGAAAUGUUGGGUUAAGUCCCGCAACGAGCGCAACCCUUAUCCUUUGUUGCCAGCGGUUAGGCCGGGAACUCAAAGGAGACUGCCAGUGAUAAACUGGAGGAAGGUGGGGAUGACGUCAAGUCAUCAUGGCCCUUACGACCAGGGCUACACACGUGCUACAAUGGCAUAUACAAAGAGAAGCGACCUCGCGAGAGCAAGCGGACCUCAUAAAGUAUGUCGUAGUCCGGAUUGGAGUCUGCAACUCGACUCCAUGAAGUCGGAAUCGCUAGUAAUCGUAGAUCAGAAUGCUACGGUGAAUACGUUCCCGGGCCUUGUACACACCGCCCGUCACACCAUGGGAGUGGGUUGCAAAAGAAGUAGGUAGCUUAACCUUCGGGAGGGCGCUUACCACUUUGUGAUUCAUGACUGGGGUGA